Molecule: ribosomal RNA, 292 nt
Filed under: Pseudomonas aeruginosa
Lineage: Bacteria; Pseudomonadati; Pseudomonadota; Gammaproteobacteria; Pseudomonadales; Pseudomonadaceae
Description: partial 16S ribosomal RNA
Rfam family: Bacterial small subunit ribosomal RNA
Source: RNAcentral
CUCUAAGGAGACUGCCGGUGACAAACCGGAGGAAGGUGGGGAUGACGUCAAGUCAUCAUGGCCCUUACGGCCAGGGCUACACACGUGAUACAAUGGUCGGUACAAAGGGUUGCCAAGCCGCGAGGUGGAGCUAAUCCCAUAAAACCGAUCGUAGUCCGGAUCGCAGUCUGCAACUCGACUGCGUGAAGUCGGAAUCGCUAGUAAUCGUGAAUCAGAAUGUCACGGUGAAUACGUUCCCGGGCCUUGUACACACCGCCCGUCACACCAUGGGAGUGGGUUGCUCCAGAAGUAG